GAUGAACGCUGGCGGCGUGCCUAAUACAUGCAAGUCGAGCGAACGGACGAGAAGCUUGCUUCUCUGAUGUUAGCGGCGGACGGGUGAGUAGCACGUGGAUAACCAACCUAUAAGACUGGGAUAACUUCGGGAAACCGGAGCUAAUACCGGAUAAUAUUUUGAACCGCAUUGUUCAAAAGUGAAAGACGGUCUUGCUGUCACUUAUAGAUGGAUCCGCGCUGCAUUAGCUAGUUGGUAAGGUAACGGCUUACCAAGGCAACGAUGCAUAGCCGACCUGAGAGGGGGAUCGGACACACUGGAACUGAGACACGGUCCAGACUCCUACGGGAGGCAGCAGUAGGGAAUCUUCCGCAAUGGGCGAAAGCCUGACGGAGCAACGCCGCGUGAGUGAUGAAGGUCUUCGGAUCGUAAAACUCUGUUAUUAGGGAAGAACAUAUGUGUAAGUAACUGUGCACAUCUUGACGGUACCUAAUCAGAAAGCCACGGCUAACUACGUG
This 497-nucleotide ribosomal RNA is filed under the name uncultured bacterium. RNAcentral describes it as "partial 16S ribosomal RNA". It matches the Rfam family "Bacterial small subunit ribosomal RNA", at positions 28 to 507 of the family's 1533-position model. The record is from RNAcentral.